AUCCAGCUGACCAGUCUCAAAUAGAAUGGAAUGCGCGUCCUGGAU
Non-coding RNA from Schistosoma margrebowiei, 45 nucleotides. The record is from Rfam. NCBI's taxonomy places the organism in Eukaryota, Metazoa, Platyhelminthes, Trematoda, Strigeidida, Schistosomatidae.